GACGAACGCUGGCGGCGUGCUUAACACAUGCAAGUCGAACGGAAAGGCCCUGCUUUUGUGGGGUGCUCGAGUGGCGAACGGGUGAGUAACACGUGAGUAACCUGCCCUUGACUUUGGGAUAACUUCAGGAAACUGGGGCUAAUACCGGAUAGGAGCUCCUGCUGCAUGGUGGGGGUUGGAAAGUUUCGGCGGUUGGGGAUGGACUCGCGGCUUAUCAGCUUGUUGGUGGGGUAGUGGCUUACCAAGGCUUUGACGGGUAGCCGGCCUGAGAGGGUGACCGGCCACAUUGGGACUGAGAUACGGCCCAGACUCCUACGGGAGGCAGCAGUGGGGAAUAUUGCACAAUGGGCGGAAGCCUGAUGCAGCAACGCCGCGUGCGGGAUGACGGCCUUCGGGUUGUAAACCGCUUUCGCCUGUGACGAAGCGUGAGUGACGGUAAUGGGUAAAGAAGCACCGGCUAACUACGUGCCAGCAGCCGCGGUGAUACGUAGGGUGCGAGCGUUGUCCGGAUUUAUUGGGCGUAAAGGGCUCGUAGGUGGUUGAUCGCGUCGGAAGUGUAAUCUUGGGGCUUAACCCUGAGCGUGCUUUCGAUACGGGUUGACUUGAGGAAGGUAGGGGAGAAUGGAAUUCCUGGUGGAGCGGUGGAAUGCGCAGAUAUCAGGAGGAACACCAGUGGCGAAGGCGGUUCUCUGGGCCUUUCCUGACGCUGAGGAGCGAAAGCGUGGGGAGCGAACAGGCUUAGAUACCCUGGUAGUCCACGCUGUAAACGGUGGGUACUAGGUGUGGGGUCCAUUCCACGGGUUCCGUGCCGUAGCUAACGCUUUAAGUACCCCGCCUGGGGAGUACGGCCGCAAGGCUAAAACUCAAAGGAAUUGACGGGGCCCCGCACAAGCGGCGGAGCAUGCGGAUUAAUUCGAUGCAACGCGUAGAACCUUACCUGGGUUUGACAUGGAUCGGGAGUGCUCAGAGAUGGGUGUGCCUCUUUUGGGGUCGGUUCACAGGUGGUGCAUGGCUGUCGUCAGCUCGUGUCGUGAGAUGUUGGGUUAAGUCCCGCAACGAGCGCAACCCUUGUUCACUGUUGCCAGCACGUUAUGGUGGGGACUCAGUGGAGACCGCCGGGGUCAACUCGGAGGAAGGUGGGGAUGACGUCAAGUCAUCAUGCCCCUUAUGUCCAGGGCUUCACGCAUGCUACAAUGGCUGGUACAGAGAGUGGCGAGCCUGUGAGGGUGAGCGAAUCUCGGAAAGCCGGUCUCAGUUCGGAUUGGGGUCUGCAACUCGACCUCAUGAAGUCGGAGCCGCUAGUAAUCGCAGAUCAGCAACGCUGCGGUGAAUACGUUCCUGGG
RNAcentral lists this ribosomal RNA (1343 nucleotides) under uncultured bacterium. RNAcentral's name for it is "16S ribosomal RNA". It matches the Rfam family "Bacterial small subunit ribosomal RNA", at positions 28 to 1378 of the family's 1533-position model. The record is from RNAcentral.